This 549-nucleotide unclassified non-coding RNA is filed under the name Hevea brasiliensis (rubber tree). The record is from RNAcentral. Lineage: Eukaryota; Viridiplantae; Streptophyta; Magnoliopsida; Malpighiales; Euphorbiaceae.
AUGGUUCCUUCCUGGUCCAUAGACAUAGUCCAUCUUUCCCUUCAAAAAAAUUGACCAACAAGCUGAUUCCCAAUGGAUUGCUGAUGCUUUGCAACGUCAAAACACCUUCACUAGAAAAUUCCAGCAGGGAAUCAGUCUUAAUCCUCUGAACUUUUAGUCGUAUAUACAUUAAAAACAUCUGAUUAUAGUAAAAAAAUUAGGAAAAUCUCAUUUGCAUAACUACAUCAGUAUGCAAAAACAGUAACUGCUUAGCAAAUCGAGCUCAAUUUCAUUCAUCACUUCUUCAUUUAUUAAAAAGUAAUCAUGAACAAAAGGGCAGCCAAUUUCAUUAUCAAACCCUUAAUCAAAAAGUAAGUGGAUUUUCAUUUUUUUGUUUUUGGAUCUAUAAAAGCACAUACACUGUAAAUUUGAAACAUCAAGCUCAUAAUAAAAUAAUAUUUUUUUUCACAGCAAGAAAAUAGCAAGCAAAAAUGGUAGCAUAUCAAUUGGUAAUCAAGAACCACAUAACUAUAGUAAAAAUAUGAAAGAAAAGGUCAACAUAUUCAUGUU